Molecule: long non-coding RNA, 2873 nt
Filed under: Capra hircus (goat)
Lineage: Eukaryota; Metazoa; Chordata; Mammalia; Artiodactyla; Bovidae
Description: lncRNA (ENSCHIG00010014149.1)
Source: RNAcentral
AUUCACCAGUUUAGGUAUGGAGACACUAUGGUUUUGUUUUCUUUGAUUAUAUAAUAAAUUCUUAAUUUGUGAAUAAAUAAAUAAAACAUAGAGACUCCCCUGGUUCUCCAGUGGUUAGGAAUUUGUGCUUUCCACUGGGUCUAGAUGCCCAGUGUGUGGAUUUCAUUUCUGGUUUGGGAGCUAAGAUCCCACAAGCCACAUGAUGGUGCAGUCAAAAAAGAAAAAAAUAUAUGUGUAAUAACGACAUAUUUUAGCAAUUGUUAUUUACUAAAUACUCUGUGCCCUCCUAGUACACCGGUCCUCAGUGUUUAGUCUUCAGCAACCACUCACGAGGGUACAGGUGACUGUCUGUAACUUUCUGCUGCAGAAACUGAGGCUAAGCCUUCCACCCAAGGUCACAGUCAAGGGCAGACCCAGGGUUCCAACUCUCCCCCUGUGCCCCCUGCUGUGGUUGACAGCUGCUCCCUGUCAAGUCCCUUGGAGCAGCACCCACCCUUCCAGGGAUCCUGGCAAGCAGAGCUGGUGGCACCAGUUGGAGAGACACUGGGAAGCGUGUCAGGAGCAGGGCUCGGACCACGGACAUGAGGAUGGUGCCAGGAANNNNNNNNNNNNNNNNNNNNNNNNNCCAGGUGGGAACGUUGCAGCCAGAAGAGGCGAACUCAGAGACCUCAAGGAAAACCUAGGCCUAGAUUCUAAUUCUUGAAGGCUGUAUUUCUCGACAGUAUUUGAAGAGGAUGCACAGAAAUUGUAUUUGAACUUUUGAAAUAGUGACAGCCUCUUCUGACCCACACCUGCUCCUCAGGAGGAGGGCGGUGGCCCUUUGUAAUUCAUGGUGAAACUUCGAUGCCCUCAGGGUGCGGUGAGAAGGCAGGGAGCUUCAGGCCACAGGCUGCUCACCCUCAGAAGAGGACCACGCUGCUGGCAGGGCCCUAGGACAGCUGCCUACUGCUGGGGAGGAGGGACCUGCUUGGAGUUUGCCUCGGUGCAGGAUGAAAAGCAGCAGUUACACCACAGAAGAAAGAACUCAGGGAAAAGGAACGCAGAAAUCACAUGGCCAUCUUCCAUCCCUCCUCCCGGCUGAACCUAACUCACCCACUCUAAGCCCACUUUUUAUCUUAUUUCCUCUGACACCUCUAUUUCAUUGUUUGUUUUUUUAAAGUGAAGUAUCAAUUACCUACAGUAAAAUUCACCAUUCUCACCGUAUAUAGUUCUACAUUAUUUUUUUAGUUCUACAUGAACAUACAUGUCAUCACCACUGUAAUCAAGUUAUGGGGUUUUUUUUCUAUCACCUACAAAGUUCCUGCACGCUCCUGUGUAGUCAGUUUCUCCCCCAAGGCCAGCCUGUCUUCUGUCGCUAUAUUUUUGCCAUUUCAAGGAUGUUAUGUGAAUGGAAUCACAUGGUCUUUAGCUUUUGGGGUCUAGCCUCUUUAAUUUAGCAAAAGUAUUCCAAGUUCAGUCAUGAUGGUCUGUGUAUCAGAAGUCCCUUAUUAUUAUUAUUAUUUUUUACUGCUGAGUAGUAUUCCAUUGUGUGGAUGUACCUUACUGUUUAAUCUGCUCACCAGCUGAAAGAUAUUUGGGCUGUUGCCAGCUUGGGGAAGUUAUUAAAGAGCUGUUACAGAUAUUCACAUGUGGGUGUGCCUGCUGGGGUACAAGGUAAGGGGAUAUUAACUUGAACCUCUCUGUAUUUGAUCUCUCACAACUCUUUAGGUCAGUUGUACAGUACAGAGACUUUCCUUUAGUUCUUUUCUAAUCUCCUUUUAACCAACCAAAAAUUGUUGAUACAGUAGUUAUCGGGCAUUAUGCUAACACUGAAGCUGCAAAGGUAAAUGAGAUGUUUCUCUAGGAUAUGUACAUGAUCCCAAAUUGCUGACUCAGUAGUAGAUGCUCGAUCGCAGCAAGGAGGUGGAACUGGAAUUCACCAGCCAACUCAGGUCAUCUUGGGACAGGGUUGGCUAUAAGCAACCAAAACAUUGAUUUCAUAUAAGAAAUAAAACCACAGGAAUCAUUUCUGGGUCUUCCCAGGUGGCUCAGUGGUAAAGAAUCCACUGCCAAUCCACUGCCAAAGAAUCUCCUGCCAAUGCAGGAGACAUAGGUCUGAUUCCAGGGUUGGGAAGAUCCCAUAGAGUAGGAAAUGGCAACCCUCUCCAGUAUUCUUGCCUGAGAAAUCCCAGGGAGAGAGGAGACUGUUGGGCUAUAGUCGCAAAAGAGUCAGAUACAACUUAGCUAGUAAACCACCACCAGAAACUUGCAGACACACCCAUAGAUUCUGGCUUACGGGCAACCCAUCACUUAGAUGCAUAGCAAGGGGAUGUUUUCCCAACCGACACCCUCAUCUUCACAAUUUCCCUCAUACUUGAAAACACCCAGAGGAAACAAUAUAAAAUAGUGGAAGAACAGAAAUAUUUUGUACUGACAAUUCUAUGUGCACAAGCUUUCCAAAAGGCAUUGUAUUCCCAAUAUUUCCAGAAUGUAAGGUCCUCUUGUUCAGCCCCUUGAUAGCCAGAGUUCCUCUGCAAUAUCACUGCUCAGCCAAUGGCUGCAUUUUCCCAGUGAUGUCAGCCCACCGUCCUGAUGGUCUACUGGUAUCAAGCACUGGAUCUGGAGUAAGAUGUGCUUAAUAUGCCUGCAUGAGUUGUUAGAGCAUUUGCUGACAUUAUCAUCAUCAAUAUUAUCAUUGUUAUUAUGAUUUCACCUAUAGACAAUCUGGAGCCUAGAAUUUCCAUUUUUGUAUUAAGCCAGAACCUGUUAACCUUAGCACUUCAUCCAUUGAUCUUACAUUUGGCUUGGGGAGUGGGGCAUUCAAAAUAAAUGGAAUUUAUAUGAGACAUUUCAAAGUCUGUGGAGACAAGUGAAAGUGUUAGUUGCUCAGUCCU